Molecule: long non-coding RNA, 571 nt
Organism: Oncorhynchus keta (chum salmon)
Lineage: Eukaryota; Metazoa; Chordata; Actinopteri; Salmoniformes; Salmonidae
Exons: 3
Source: RefSeq, a predicted model, not a curated record
ACACACACACUUUACUGUUACAGUGACACAAAUACACAGAGAGAGGGAGAGCUCCAUUGAUAGAAGAAUUUGAAUAUUUAAAGUAGUGACUAAAGUAUUCCACCCUGAAUCUGUAGAACUGGGUGAAAUGUGUUAGAAUCAUAAGACUAUAAUCUACAAUAACCCAGUAUAAACUGACGGUGUACACCAGGUGUAUCCUGUUAUAAACUGACACCAGGUGUAUCCUGUUAUAAACUGACGGUGUACACCAGGUGUAUCCUGUUAUAAACUGACGGUGUACACCAGGUGUAUCCUGUUAUAAACUGACACCAGGUGUAUCCUGUUAUAAACUGACGGUGUACACCAGGUGUAUCCUGUUAUAAACUGACGGUGUACACCAGGUGUAUCCUGUUAUAAACUGACGGUGUACACCAGGUGUAUCCUGUUAUAAACUGACGGUGUACACCAGGUGUAUCCUGUUAUAAACUGACGGUGUACACCAGGUGUAUCCUGUUAUAAACUGACGGUGUACACCAGGUGUAUCCUGUUAUAAACUGACACCAGGUGUAUCCUGUUAUAAACUGACGGUGAG